UAUUUUACGCCACGUAUCUGAAGUAGGCUUGUGAAGCCUUGGUGUUAUAGGUUAACUAGUAACGAUGAUCACAGACGUUCAGUUAGCUGUGUUCGCCAACGUUCUGGGUGUGACACUGUUUCUGCUGGUUGUUCUGUAUCAUUACAUUUCUGCAAACCAUUCGAAAUCCUGACUACUGCGAUCAGGUGAUGAUUACGACAGCG
Schistocerca americana (American grasshopper) is the source of this 203-nucleotide long non-coding RNA. RefSeq lists it as uncharacterized. The transcript has 3 exons. Lineage: Eukaryota; Metazoa; Arthropoda; Insecta; Orthoptera; Acrididae. The record is from RefSeq and is a predicted model, not a curated record.